Molecule: ribosomal RNA, 460 nt
Filed under: uncultured bacterium
Lineage: Bacteria
Description: partial 16S ribosomal RNA
Rfam family: Bacterial small subunit ribosomal RNA
Source: RNAcentral
CCUACGGGUGGCAGCAGUGAGGAAUAUUGGUCAAUGGACGAGAGUCUGAACCAGCCAAGUAGCGUGAAGGAUGACUGCCCUAUGGGUUGUAAACUUCUUUUAUAUGGGAAUAAAACGUUCCACGUGUGGGAUUUUGUAUGUACCAUAUGAAUAAGGAUCGGCUAACUCCGUGCCAGCAGCCGCGGUAAUACGGAGGAUCCGAGCGUUAUCCGGAUUUAUUGGGUUUAAAGGGAGCGUAGGUGGAUUGUUAAGUCAGUUGUGAAAGUUUGCGGCUCAACCGUAAAAUUGCAGUUGAAACUGGCAGUCUUGAGUACAGUAGAGGUGGGCGGAAUUCGUGGUGUAGCGGUGAAAUGCUUAGAUAUCACGAAGAACUCCGAUCGCAAAGGCAGUUCACUGGACUGCAACUGACACUGAGGCUCGAAAGUGUGGGUAUCAAACAGGAUUAGAUACCCGUGUAGUC